CCUUCAAGUGCAGUGCCACAGAAUGGUCCAUAAGGAGAAAUUAUGUUGAAAAUACUGAGUAUGACAACUCUUCUUUAAGCAGGAAAGAAAUACCUAUUUAGAGCAAUGGGGAAAACCCCAUGCAGCAGGGAUAUGAAAAGUGUGUUGUUUCAUCUGCACAGGUAAAAUGUAAUAAGUAAGAUUCAAAGUUCAGAAGAGAAUUUAAGGUAAUAAUUCCCUGUUUGUAGUAGAUCAGGAAAAGUCUAGAAAACCAAGGAGGAAUGCAGGGAGGAGAGGAAGAACCUGUCAGCAGUGAUUUUUAAUCAAAGAGAAAAAUCAUUGCACUGUGGAGAAGAUAACCAGAAUCAAAAGUGAUCAAGAACACAGCUGUCGAUAGAAGUGACAACAAAAACGUCAUUUGGUGUAGUGCCUUGCUGAGGAAAGAUGUGCCUGGAGACAGAAGUCAUUAGCAGGUGAGAAGAGGGUGAGGCAAGCACCAUUUUUUUUCAAAGCAGGGAUGAAAACAAGUACAUCUGAAGCAGAAGGGAGAAGAUGGUACAACCACAUAAAUGAUCAAAGAAGACAUACCAUAUACUGUGUUAGCAUAAGAGACAAGCAUGGUAGCUUCACAAGCUGAUCUUACAAACCAUAAAUUACGGCAGUGGCGUUAGUCGUGAGCGUCUGAACUGGUGAAAGUGGAGUUCCAUACGCAUUACUAAGAAACCCAUAAUCAUACGUUGAGACAUGCAGAAACGGUGUGGGUGUCUGCACGAACUGGGGGCUAAAUCCUUUUUACCCUUUUACUUUAUCUGAAAACUUCCUGUAUGGAUGAUGCUGAGAUUUUUCUUUUUCAUUAUUUCAGGAUUAUUUUGGGGGAGAGCCAUUUUAAUAUUCUGUUCUCAUAAGGGCAAAAUUUGGACUCACCCUGAUACUGCUGUUGGGUAGUUUUAAAGCAAAGGAGGGAAGCUUUUAAUAAUGAUCCGUGAAGAAGCCUCAAGCAGCAUUCUUUCUGCUCUAGAUUCCAGCUUCUCUCAGUUAGCGUAGUCCUAUCAUAUAGAAUCAGGUACAAGAAUAGGCCCCUGAAGGAGACAUAGUGAGAGCUAAGAGCCCACAGUAUACUGGGGUACUCCAUCACUGCUUUUUGGACAAACGUACGUGUUGUAUGCAUCUCAGUCUGACAAACUUGCUUCUGUCUUAGAAAUGCAAGUGUAUAGAAUGUGUAUCCAGUGGUCAAUUUUCAGUGUUGUAAAUGCACAUUUUUAUAGCAGCAAAAUCAUAGUCUAGUAGAAAACCAAGCUUCAGGUGUAAUAGCACAAAUCAGAACCAUCCUUGCAUAGAAUUCAAUUACAAUCAAGACUUUCUGGUAAACAUACUAUUUUUCCACUGUGUAUUUUGCAUGCUGUUUGCAUGACAUCUCGUUUUCUGUCUUUCCCUUGUUGGCUGACUUUGUGCCCUUUUGGCUUGUCCUUUUUUUUUUUUUUUUCUUUUUAAGCCUAGUGGUGAUUCACUGGAAAAAAAUCCAUUUAGCCAGUGAGCAGGAAUUUAUGACCUAUUUACAAGUGAACUUCUCUAUACUUUUCGUAGGCCAAAGUCAACCCCCACAGUACCUCACAGACUGCAUUUUAGAACAUGUGUCACGUUCCCAGUGAUUCCUGAGGACCCCCAUCCAGCCUGUCUGUGUGUGCCUCACCUGGCCUGCCUGUGCUGUAGAUGCUAUUCACUAUUUGGUCACCGAGAAUAUUUUCUCUUAAAAGAGCCUACAUUCUUGGGAUGGACUAUGUGUCUUCCAGAAAGGACUCUAGAAGAUACUGCGUUGCAGGAGGAAUAAUGAUAUAUAAUAGCAUUUGAGGUUCUACUCUCUGCUUCCUGGGGUAACACCUGGUGUAACUCUUGGUCCUUGAGCCGUUGCUAACUGCUGCAAAGCCUCCACAUUUCUGAAAGGGUAACCCUGUAAAUAUGCGCUGGACAACCUAAUGCUUUCCUAACAUUGACCACAGGAUGGCAGUACAAGAUUUUCGUUUUCACCCUUGUUUCAAUUGUAUGUGUACGUGCCUUGUGCGUGUGACAGUGUAGUUAGACAGAAAAUUAAAACCAGUAGUGCUUUUUUCCAUUUUAGAAACAAAGAUAUACGAGUUUCCUUUCAAAUAGGGCUGGAUUAUGAAAACACAGAACCAAUAAGAAAACAAUGCUGUUGCUGCAUGUGAAGUGUUGCCAUAAAUACCAGAUUUCAGAUGUGCACCUCAGCUUUGUUCCUAUGCUGACUGUGCAUUUAAUUAAUUUAGACUUCUUUUUUCUCCCCCAGUAUACAACUUAUAUUGCGAAUAUUAUUUAGACAAUGUAUUAUAAUGGGUUUUGAACUCAGGGAGCUGGUGUCCUAAAACUAAAACAUCUUCAGGCUGCGUGCUAAGGCACACUCCCUGCCGGUGUGGUCCCGUUCUGCCGACAGAGCUGCGAGCAGUUGCCAGAAGGACAUAGCUUUCUCUCCAUCUCUUCUAAUGGUGUGCUGAUAACUGAAAAAUGGACAGAAAUGCCUGUUUAGUAUGAGGUCUUGGGAGACACAUGAAGCCUUCUGAUAAAUGGGGUGUUUGGAUGAUGAAGAGAUGACUUGAAGACUCAGGAAGAGAUGCUUCAGACUUCUGCCUCUGGAGUGAAAUGAAGGUGAGUUCACUUAGAUCCUAGCUCUGUGUCACUUACCUGUGUAAUCUCUCUCAUGCUUCGGGAUGGACUACGAUGUCUUUUCCAUCUUAAGUUGCUAAAAGUCUAAGUAAGUAAUUCCUGCUGUGAAAGAAAGAAAAAACCUAUUUAAAUGUUUAGGUUCCUAAAUACAGGCUUAAAUAUUGUUGAAGUCCAUAGAAUUUAAAGUACAUGCUUAAAUGUUUUGCUGAAUAGGGAUAUGUUGCUGAAUCAUGGCCAAGAUUUCUUAAGUUGAUGUACCGUUACCCAUGAAAUUACUAAUACACUCAAUAUCAAUCCUGUACUUAAAUGCAUUGUAAAAGGAGAAUAUACUUUUUCAGGGCUUCUGGUUCAUUCUCUACAAGAGCA
Molecule: long non-coding RNA, 3021 nt
Organism: Pezoporus occidentalis (night parrot)
Lineage: Eukaryota; Metazoa; Chordata; Aves; Psittaciformes; Psittacidae
Exons: 3
Source: RefSeq, a predicted model, not a curated record